Molecule: non-coding RNA, 486 nt
Organism: Pelobates cultripes (western spadefoot toad)
Lineage: Eukaryota; Metazoa; Chordata; Amphibia; Anura; Pelobatidae
Source: the annotation of a GenBank genome assembly
CUGCUCCUGGGGAGUGUUGCGCACAAUUGGAGGGGGCUUCGGUUCUGGUUUAGGCCCCUCAACUUUGUUGUGAGUAUCAUUCUGCAGGGUUGGUCUCUUGUCCCUGGGCUACUUAAAUUUGCUCCACGAGGUACCAACCCCUGCCCAACCAUUCGGGCGAUCCAGCCAGGGCAGUUUUACACAAUUGGAGUAGUUUUUCAGCUGCAUGGAUUGGGAUCUCUUUGGUCAUUCCCCCACUUUCAAUUCACAAAGACGCAGCAGCACACACAGGGUUCGCAGCCUUUUUCAGGAACCACUCAUUAGACCACUCUUUUAGAGCAGUCACAUGACCCCUCUGGGUCCUAAAUUGCAAAGGGGGGACUGUCUGGGCUUAAUCCCUCAGAAGUAGAUCGGUCGCUGGUGGGGAAACGGUGGCGAUCAGUAAGUACAUGGGGAGGGAGGUGUGGCGGAACCAGUCUCGCCACUGGGCAUUGGAGAAGACUGAUU